Molecule: ribosomal RNA, 465 nt
Filed under: uncultured bacterium
Lineage: Bacteria
Description: partial 16S ribosomal RNA
Rfam family: Bacterial small subunit ribosomal RNA
Source: RNAcentral
GACGAACGCUGGCGGCGUGCUUAACACAUGCAAGUCGUACGGUAAGGCCCUUUCGGGGGUACACGAGUGGCGAACGGGUGAGUAACACGUGAGUAACCUGCCCACAACUUUGGGAUAACGCUAGGAAACUGGUGCUACUACUGGAUAUGUGCUCCUGCUGCAUGGUGGGGGUUGGAAAGCUCCGGCGGUUGUGGAUGGACUCGCGGCCUAUCAGCUUGUUGGUGGGGGAGUGGCCUACCAAGGCGGCGACGGGUAGCCGGCCUGAGGGGGUGACCGGCCACAUUGGGACUGAGAUACGGCCCAGACUCCUACGGGAGGCAGCAGGGGGGAAUAUUGCACAAUGGGCGCAAGCCGGAUGCAGCAACGCCGCGUGCGGGAUGACGGCCUUCGGGUUGGAAACCGCUUUCAGCAGGGACGAAGCUUUUUGUGACGGUACCUGCAGAAGAAGCACCGGCUAACUACGUG